CUGACUUACACUGUUCUCAUGUGAAUGUUCACAGGGACUCAUCCACUCUGAACUUAUUAUUAUCCUCAUUUUACCAACCAGGAAACUGAGAAUUGCACAGGAGAAGAAAGUUGACCAAGGUCAUCCAACAAAACUGACUCAGAACUCAAUGGAUCUGAGGUUCUAGAAUUCAGACACCUGAGCCAUAGCAACUGCCUAUACACAGCGGCCGAGAAGCCUUUCCCCAUUAGCUAACAUCUAAGUGAUGGCGGAAAGCUUUUCUGUACAGUGUUACAUACCUAGCUUUCAUUUAAUGCAGUAAAACCGGUCAAACAUGUCGAAUGAGGAAAACCCUAUCAGCAGGAGCUGCCAAGCCUCCGUGCUCAGUAUCUCCAGCCCAGCACUUCCCUCCAUCCUCAGGGACCAUGGUCCACAGGGAAAGGCACGCCAGCUGCUUAGCCAAGUACCAGGGUUUUAUUACAUAGCCCUGGCUAGCCUGGAAUUUGCUAUACAGAGCAGUCUGGCCUGGAAUUCAGAGACUGGUCUGCGUCUGCUUCCUUGGUGCUGAGAUUACAGGUGUGCACUGCCACACUCGAGGCUACUAUGAAAGGGUUGGAGAGAACCCCACUGAGUAGGCAUGAUCACUGCUGUUCACAGUCACAUCACUGUCACUCUUCAGGAGCUUCCUACGGUCAGACAAACCACACUGCAACCAGCUAGUUAUACACUUCUUUACAGGUGUAGAUCAGCUACAGGAUCAGUGUCCACAGUGGAACUGUCAAGCUAAGGACAGCACUGUAAUCGUGAUAAAGACUACCUCCCUCUCCAUGCAAUCUGCUUCAUGUCUUCACCAGGAUGAACAUGGCCACUCCUCAAUGGAUAAAGAAGCCGACUACUAAUUUUGCAUGUUAAAUAUGUGUAUUUAUCUAUGUAUCUUUUAUUCAUGUCCUUUGCCUGUUUUUCUCUUAUGUAAAGUCUUAGUCUCUGGAUGAUCA
Long non-coding RNA from Mus musculus (house mouse), 974 nucleotides. RefSeq annotates it as predicted gene, 32581. The record is from RefSeq and is a predicted model, not a curated record. Lineage: Eukaryota; Metazoa; Chordata; Mammalia; Rodentia; Muridae. The transcript is spliced from 2 exons.